AUUGAACGCUGGCGGCAGGCUUAACACAUGCAAGUCGAACGAGUGGCGGAAGGGUGAGUAAUGCUUGGGAAUCUAGCUUAUGGAGGGGGAUCACUACGGGAAACUGUAGAUAAUACCGCGUACCAUAGGAUGAGCCCAAGUGGGAUUAGCUAGUUGGUGAGGUAAAGGCUCACCAAGCCGACAAUCUCUAGCUGGUCUGCGAGGAUGACCAGCCAACCUGUGACUGAGACACGGCCCAGACGACUACGGGAGGCAGCAGUGGGGAAUGUUGCGGAAUGGGGGCAACCUGACCCAGCCAUGCCGCGUGGAUGAAGAAGGCCUUCAGGUUGUAAAGUUCUUUCGGUAGCGAGGCGUUAUCUACAGAAGAAGCGCCGGCUAACUCCGUGCCAGCCGCCGCGGUAAUUC
This 405-nucleotide ribosomal RNA is filed under the name uncultured bacterium. RNAcentral describes it as "partial 16S ribosomal RNA". It matches the Rfam family "Bacterial small subunit ribosomal RNA", at positions 30 to 526 of the family's 1533-position model. The record is from RNAcentral.